Molecule: unclassified non-coding RNA, 240 nt
Filed under: soil metagenome
Description: partial contains 5.8S ribosomal RNA, internal transcribed spacer 2, and large subunit ribosomal RNA
Source: RNAcentral
AACGCACGAGACCUGCGGACCUGCGGAAGGAUCAUUACAGGACUCGCAAGACUCCUACAACCCUGUGAACUUAACUAUAAGCACGUUGCUUCGGCGGGUGUCUCGGCGAGGGUUCUCCCUCCCCGGGGCGCUAAGCCCGCCGGCAGCCUACUAUACUCUGUCUCUUUGCGUUGGCAUCUCGAGUACAAACAAACAAGUUAAAACUUUCAACAACGGAUCUCUAGAUCGGAAGAGCACACG